RNAcentral lists this ribosomal RNA (253 nucleotides) under uncultured bacterium. Its description in RNAcentral is "partial 16S ribosomal RNA". It matches the Rfam family "Bacterial small subunit ribosomal RNA", at positions 524 to 776 of the family's 1533-position model. The record is from RNAcentral.
UACAGAGGGGGCAAGCGUUGUUCGGAAUUACUGGGCGUAAAGGGCGCGUAGGCGGCCUGCUAAGUCGAACGUGAAAUUCCUGGGCUCAACCCAGGAACUGCGUCCGAUACUGGUUGGCUUGAAUCCGGGAGAGGGAUGUGGAAUUCCAGGUGUAGCGGUGAAAUGCGUAGAUAUCUGGAGGAACACCGGUGGCGAAGGCGGGUCUCUGGGCAAUAACUGACGCUGAGGAGCGAAAGCGUGGGGAGCGAACAGG